UACGUAGGGUGCAAGCGUUGUCCGGAAUUAUUGGGCGUAAAGAGCGUGUAGGCGGCCCCGUUAGUCCGCUGUGAAAGUCCAGGGCUCAACCCUGGAAUGCCGGUGGAUACUGUGGGGCUAGAGUCCGGAAGGGGCGAGUGGAAUUCCUGGUGUAGCGGUGAAAUGCGCAGAUAUCAGGAGGAACACCAAUGGCGAAGGCAGCUCGCUGGGACGUGACUGACGCUGAGACGCGAAAGCGUGGGGAGCAAACAGG
This 253-nucleotide ribosomal RNA is filed under the name uncultured bacterium. RNAcentral describes it as "partial 16S ribosomal RNA". It matches the Rfam family "Bacterial small subunit ribosomal RNA", at positions 524 to 776 of the family's 1533-position model. The record is from RNAcentral.